CCCUUAGAUGUUCUGGGCCGCACGCGCGCUACACUGAUACGUUCAACGAGUCCAAAACCUUGAUUGAUAGGUCUGGGUAAUCUUUUGAAGACGUAUCGUGCUAGGGAUAGAUUAUUGCAAUUAUUAAUCUUGAACGAGGAAUUCCUAGUAAACGCAAGUCAUCAGCUUGCAUUGAUUACGUCCCUGCCCUUUGUACACACCGCCCGUCGCACCUACCGAUUGAAUGACUCGGUGAAAAAUUGGGGCUGUGAUUGAAAUUGCUUCAUUGCGAAUUUAAUUAUGGAAACUUUCUUUAACCUAGGCAUUUAGAGGAAGGUGAAGUCGUAACA
This 329-nucleotide ribosomal RNA is filed under the name uncultured eukaryote. RNAcentral describes it as "partial 18S ribosomal RNA". It matches the Rfam family "Eukaryotic small subunit ribosomal RNA", at positions 1470 to 1796 of the family's 1831-position model. The record is from RNAcentral.